RNAcentral lists this ribosomal RNA (488 nucleotides) under uncultured Propionibacterium sp. Its description in RNAcentral is "partial 16S ribosomal RNA". The record is from RNAcentral. Lineage: Bacteria; Bacillati; Actinomycetota; Actinomycetes; Propionibacteriales; Propionibacteriaceae.
CACGUAGUUAGCCGGUGCUUCUUUACCCAUUACCGUCACUCACGCUUCGUCACAGGCGAAAGCGGUUUACAACCCGAAGGCCGUCAUCCCGCACGCGGCGUUGCUGCAUCAGGCUUCCGCCCAUUGUGCAAUAUUCCCACUGCUGCCUCCCGUAGGAGUCUGGGCCGUAUCUCAGUCCCAAUGUGGCCGGUCACCCUCUCAGGCCGGCUACCCGUCAAAGCCUUGGUAAGCCACUACCCCCACCAACAAGCUGAUAAGCCGCGAGUCCAUCCCCAACCGCCGAAACUUUCCAACCCCCACCAUGCAGCAGGAGCUCCUAUCCGGUAUUAGCCCCAGUUUCCUGAAGUUAUCCCAAAGUCAAGGGCAGGUUACUCACGUGUUACUCACCCGUUCGCCACUCGAGCACCCCACAAAAGCAGGGCCUUUCCGUUCGACCUGCAUGUGUUAAGCACGCCGCCAGCGUCGUCCUGAGCCAGAGUCAAACUACU